CCUACGGGUGGCAGCAGUGAGGAAUAUUGGUCAAUGGGCGCGAGCCUGAACCAGCCAAGUCGCGUGAGGGAAGACGGUCCUAUGGAUUGUAAACCUCUUUUGUCGGGGAGCAAAAGACGCCACGCGUGGCGUUCCGAGAGUACCCGAAGAAAAAGCAUCGGCUAACUCCGUGCCAGCAGCCGCGGUAAUACGGAGGAUGCGAGCGUUAUCCGGAUUUAUUGGGUUUAAAGGGUGCGCAGGCGGAAGGUCAAGUCAGCGGUAAAAUUGAGAGGCUCAACCUCGUCGAGCCGUUGAAACUGGUUGUCUUGAGUGAGCGAGAGGUAUGCGGAAUGCGUGGUGUAGCGGUGAAAUGCUUAGAUAUCGCGCAGAACUCCGAUUGCGAAGGCAGCAUACCGGCGGCGAACUGACGCUGAUGCACGAAAGUGUGGGUAUCGAACAGGAUUAGAUACCCUUGUAGUC
RNAcentral lists this ribosomal RNA (459 nucleotides) under uncultured bacterium. RNAcentral describes it as "partial 16S ribosomal RNA". It matches the Rfam family "Bacterial small subunit ribosomal RNA", at positions 338 to 795 of the family's 1533-position model. The record is from RNAcentral.